GGGCCCGUAGCCCAGCAAGGAUAAAGGCGCCGAACCACAUGCAGACCAUUGUGGUGCGUAGGCCUCCGGUUAAACAACGUUUAGCGUUUAGAAGAAAGCCGGAGAACAGGGGUUCAAAUCCCCUCGGGCCCG
Molecule: transfer RNA, 132 nt
Filed under: Candidatus Bathyarchaeota archaeon
Lineage: Archaea; Thermoproteati; Candidatus Bathyarchaeota
Description: tRNA-OTHER
Rfam family: tRNA
About the family: Transfer RNA (tRNA) molecules are approximately 80 nucleotides in length.
Source: RNAcentral